This is a long non-coding RNA of Tripterygium wilfordii, 522 nucleotides long. RefSeq lists it as uncharacterized. The record is from RefSeq and is a predicted model, not a curated record. Lineage: Eukaryota; Viridiplantae; Streptophyta; Magnoliopsida; Celastrales; Celastraceae. The transcript is spliced from 2 exons.
CGCAAAUGAAAUAUCAAGGAUCUUCUUUUAAUUUCUAAACCCUAAUUCGUGGUACUUGUUCUAUAUAUAAUCCGCGGAAGCGCUGAACCCUAGCCGUUGCGCCCGAUUUUAGGUGACUGAAGCCUGCUUCUUUGUUCUUAGCUAAUUCAAUUUUGUUUUAGCAAAGAAGGUGAAUGUCUCCAUCUGAAUGGUCUUACUGAGUUCUAAGAGAGAAUUGUUAGUCUUUUCUUGGUGCUCGAGAUGGCUUGUUAUGAUUUAAUUGACGUUGGCUCUAUAUAUUUGCCAAUGUCUGGUGUAAUAGAAUUUUCUUUUGGCCUGUGAUGUAAUUUAAUGCACGUAUUAUCAGAUAACUGAUAUGAUGAUACCUUAUUGUCACUACCUCUGAGGCCUAAGAAGAUUUUCAAGACACAAAAUAGGACAAAGAUCUAUGUGUGGUUCUAUGUUGUAACAAUGGGUAUUCCUCUGCCAUAAGUGAAGGUGUUAAUAAAAAUUUGAGGUGGCGUACUCUUUCAUUAAAAAGAA